This 1285-nucleotide ribosomal RNA is filed under the name Salmonella enterica. Its description in RNAcentral is "partial 23S ribosomal RNA". It matches the Rfam family "Bacterial large subunit ribosomal RNA", at positions 576 to 1773 of the family's 2925-position model. The record is from RNAcentral. Lineage: Bacteria; Pseudomonadati; Pseudomonadota; Gammaproteobacteria; Enterobacterales; Enterobacteriaceae. RNAcentral also lists the same sequence under 1 other name.
GGAGCACAGGUUUACCUGUGUGACUGCGUACCUUUUGUAUAAUGGGUCAGCGACUUAUAUUCUGUAGCAAGGUUAACCGAAUAGGGGAGCCGCAGGGAAACCGAGUCUUAACCGGGCGUUAAGUUGCAGGGUAUAGACCCGAAACCCGGUGAUCUAGCCAUGGGCAGGUUGAAGGUUGGGUAACACUAACUGGAGGACCGAACCGACUAAUGUUGAAAAAUUAGCGGAUGACCUGUGGCUGGGGGUGAAAGGCCAAUCAAACCGGGAGAUAGCUGGUUCUCCCCGAAAGCUAUUUAGGUAGCGCCUCGUGAACUCAUCUCCGGGGGUAGAGCACUGUUUCGGCUAGGGGGCCAUCCCGGCUUACCAACCCGAUGCAAACUGCGAAUACCGGAGAAUGUUAUCACGGGAGACACACGGCGGGUGCUAACGUCCGUCGUGAAGAGGGAAACAACCCAGACCGCCAGCUAAGGUCCCAAAGUCAUGGUUAAGUGGGAAACGAUGUGGGAAGGCCCAGACAGCCAGGAUGUUGGCUUAGAAGCAGCCAUCAUUUAAAGAAAGCGUAAUAGCUCACUGGUCGAGUCGGCCUGCGCGGAAGAUGUAACGGGGCUAAACCAUGCACCGAAGCUGCGGCAGCGAACGUAUCACUUAAAGCGAUUCAGCGGGUUACGAUUGACGGAGCGAAGCGACGUCAAAGCGUAUACAAAGUCGAGUCGGUUUAAGGAUACGUUCGUUGGGUAGGGGAGCGUUCUGUAAGCCUGUGAAGGUGUGUCGUGAGGCAUGCUGGAGGUAUCAGAAGUGCGAAUGCUGACAUAAGUAACGAUAAAGCGGGUGAAAAGCCCGCUCGCCGGAAGACCAAGGGUUCCUGUCCAACGUUAAUCGGGGCAGGGUGAGUCGACCCCUAAGGCGAGGCCGAAAGGCGUAGUCGAUGGGAAACGGGUUAAUAUUCCCGUACUUGGUGUUACUGCGAAGGGGGGACGGAGAAGGCUAUGUUGGCCGGGCGACGGUUGUCCCGGUUUAAGCGUGUAGGUGUGUGUUCCAGGUAAAUCCGGUUCACUUUAACACUGAGGCGUGACGACGAGGCACUACGGUGCUGAAGCAACAAAUGCCCUGCUUCCAGGAAAAGCCUCUAAGCAUCAGGUAACAUCAAAUCGUACCCCAAACCGACACAGGUGGUCAGGUAGAGAAUACCAAGGCGCUUGAGAGAACUCGGGUGAAGGAACUAGGCAAAAUGGUGCCGUAACUUCGGGAGAAGGCACGCUGACAUGUAGGUGAAGUGAUUUACUCA